Molecule: transfer RNA, 73 nt
Filed under: Apaloderma vittatum (bar-tailed trogon)
Lineage: Eukaryota; Metazoa; Chordata; Aves; Trogoniformes; Trogonidae
Rfam family: tRNA
About the family: Transfer RNA (tRNA) molecules are approximately 80 nucleotides in length.
Source: Rfam by way of RNAcentral
GGCUGGUUAGCUCAGUCUUUUAGAGCGUGGUGCUGAUAACACCAGGGUUGUGGGCUCGAUCCCUGCUCGGUCC